GACGAACGCUGGCGGCGUGCUUAACACAUGCAAGUCGAACGGAAAGGCCCUGCUUUUGUGGGGUGCUCGAGUGGCGAACGGGUGAGUAACAUGUGAGUCACCUGCCCUUGACUUUGGGAUAACUUCAGGAAACUGGGGCUAAUACCGGCUAGGAGCUCCUGCUGCAUGGUGGGGGUUGGAAAGUUUCGGCGGUUGGGGAUUGACUCGCGGCUUAUCAGCUUGUUGGUGGAGGAGUGGCUUACCAAGGCUUUGACGGGUAGCCGGCCUGAGAGGGUGACCGGCCACACUGGGACUACGAUACGGCCCAGACUCCUACGGUGGGCAGCAGUGGGGAAUAUUGCACAAUGGGCGGAAGCCUGAUGCAGCAACGCCGCGUGCGGGAUGACGGCCUUCGGGUUGUAAACCGCUUUCGCCUGUGACGAAGCGUGAGUGACGGUAAUGGGUAAAGAAGCACCGGCUAACUACGUG
RNAcentral lists this ribosomal RNA (468 nucleotides) under uncultured bacterium. RNAcentral's name for it is "partial 16S ribosomal RNA". It matches the Rfam family "Bacterial small subunit ribosomal RNA", at positions 28 to 507 of the family's 1533-position model. The record is from RNAcentral.